Molecule: RNA transcript, 3739 nt
Organism: Panicum hallii
Lineage: Eukaryota; Viridiplantae; Streptophyta; Magnoliopsida; Poales; Poaceae
Exons: 2
Source: RefSeq, a predicted model, not a curated record
UUGAGAGGAUGUGAGAAAUCAAAUCAGGGCCCGCCGAUCCGCGACAACAGUCCCACCGACUGUAUACCAAAUCGACGGUCGGCCCAACCCAACCAGAUGAUGUACCCCACAGGCCCACAGCAUCACGGCCCAAGAAAAUGCUAUACCCCUCGCUGCAGAAACCACCACUCACCACUCACCACACGAAGCGGCGACGGCGCCACCGCGCCGGCGGAAGGGAAAACGACGUCUCGGCGAGCGGUCAGCCCAAGCGCGAGGGGCCAGCGGCGAGGCUGUUCAGGCAUGGGAGCCGCGAAGGUCAGGCCACCGCGCCGCAAGCCCGCAAGCCGCGAGGGUCCAAGUCGAAGCAACCUCGACAGUCUCAAGUCUCGACAGAGACUAGGUUUGCCUCGAAUCGAUGUGUGCAGUAUGCGUCGAUUCAAUCCGAAGCAGAGAGCGAUUCAACAAGUGAUGGAAUGGAUUGAUUCAACUUGAGCUUCUUAAGUCAGUUAGUCACUUAGCCCUAAACCCAGCGAUUUUUUGUGAAUUGUUUCUUUGGCUGGCGUAAUUUCAGUACUUUAAUACUUGAUUCAGAAAAUGAAAUGACUAUAAACCUCGAGCUGUGGUGCGGCUUCUGAAAUGCACAGCUAACAUAGUGAAUCUGCAGCACGGCUGUUGGCACACGUGGUUUUUCUUAGACCCAUGAUGCUCAAUUAGUGAAAUGCAUUAUAUGCGCUCAGUUCAAGUUCAUACCAAUUUCGUUAGGUUCCGCACAUAGUAAAUGCACCAGAUAAUUUGCAUUUUACAUGAACUCUUUUGUGUCCUGCUCUGCAUAAGUGUAAUUCUGUCUAGCUAUAACUUUGCAAAAUCGAAUAUGUUUGCAGUCAACAGUUGUCGCUAGUAUAGGUCGUGCCUCCAUACGGACAGUGUUAAAAGUUUGCUCCAGCCUCCAGCUCAUACACAUACUGUGGCUCUGUGCUGCAUGCGUCAUGUUUGUAAUUUCACUUUAAGGUCCCGUAGUAUGCAUCAUUAAGAGGUAGAACCAAUCUCAGCAUUAUUUGGAAUACCAACUAAGGACUAUUGCAGUUUGCCACCUUACAAGUAGUACCGAGUCACUGAUAUCUGAGAAAAAAAGAUGGGUAAUUGGGUGGUGAAAGAAAAAGCUUAAUUUCCAUGUGUUUGGAGGAUCUUAUUUAUGAAUAAUUUGUUUUUUUAACAGUUUAAAGUUGCAGCAUUUCUUGAAAACAACGUAUGCUUUAUUCAUGUUAAUAUGGCCAGGCAUCGUAUGGGGAUUGCAACAACCAAACUGCCAGAGUUGUCUGCAGAACAUCCUGAUGGAUAUAUUUGUUCUUCUGGAUAUCCCAUACCUCAUGCACAUAGGCUCUUUCUGCAACUCCUGGAACUCCGCAUAUCCCAGCCUACGUAGCAUUGGGCAAUAGAAGCAGCCCCGAACACCAUGUUGUUGGAGCAUACAAGUUAACUUUGUUAGAACCACCCAUCUGCAGAAGGUAUCUGAUUGGGUCCUGUUAACACCAAAACUUGGUGCAAUAACCAGCAAGUUUUGGUGGUUUCUGUUGAUGAGCAGUCUGGAAUGCACCCUGUAAUCCGAUCACAAGUGAGCAGAUAACUCUCCCAUUGGAGAUUGCCAUGGAGCAGGCCGGCGAGGUCCAUCUUUUGAUGGUGCAGGUGAAAAUUAUAAGUAUCAUUGCUCAGUUCACAUCAGAUGGUCAGUUGCUGAACGGCUGCUUAAACCUUGCUCUUGGCAAGCUGUGCUUUCAUUUGCUAGGUUAGGGGAUGAGAACUGGAGCCGGUUGCCAUCUCAAGCACAUUUUCAGGACUGCAGCUACAAGGAUGGUCUAUUAUACGGUGAAAUUAUCGCCAUCAAUCUCAGCAGCACUAUGGUCACGACUCGUGACAAAGGUAAUUGUGGAUAGGGUACAGUAUUGAUAUGGGAGCGACAAGGUUUACAUUGUUCAUGCUCCAUAGGGUGAUCUGCUUCAAGUGUGGGUAAAAGAAGAGCCAGCAGGACAUGGGCUCCAAUCAUCUUUGGACCAAGCUUGGGUGGAUGAGAAUAGAGAAAAUUCUCUCUAUAGCCCUAGAAAUAAUGACAGUUCCCUCUGUGGCCCUGAAAAUUUGAAACUCCCCUAUUUGGCCCUCCUUUUAACUUUGGUUUCUUAUUUGGCCUUUCUGUCAACUCUGUCAGUUAUCUCGCGUGAACAGUAUCCAUCUUUUCUUCACUAAAACGACUUCCAAAUCACUCCAAAAUUCAUAAGAUGAACCCAUUUUGCAAAAAACCACAUAUGUAGCAUUAAAAUUAAAAUUCAUCAAAUUAGGCUACUUUUUAAGACUAUCUAAUUUUUUAAAGCAUAAAACUACUAUUAAAAAUUGAAUAAAAAUGCCUAAUAUUUCUAAGAUGAGAUGAAUUAAUUUAUAAAAUUAUUUUGUAUCAUAUGUUACUUAGAAUAUUUUGAAGUUCUUUAAAAAAAAAUUUAAACUUCCUUUCAAAAACAAAUUUUUGAGAUAACUUCAAAAUUAUCUAGGCAACAUAUAUUAUAAAAUUAUUUUAUAAAUUAGUAUAUCCCAUCUUACAAAUAUUAGUUAUUUUUACUCAAUUUUUGGACUCUAUUUUUAUGCCUUGAAAACCAGAUACUCUUAAAAAGUAGCCUAAUUUGGUGAAUUUUAAUUUUAAGAUCCUAAAUGUUACACAUGUGGAUUUUUUGCAAAAUGGGUUCAUUUCCGUUAGUUGUAUCUCUGCAAAAAGUUUUAUAAAUUUUGAAGGUGAUUUGGAGGUUGUUUUAGUGAAUAAAAGAGGGAUAAAAAACCACAAGUCACUGUUAUCAUGAGAUAACUGAUAGAGUUGAUGGAAGGGCCAAAUAAGGAACCCAAGUUAAAAAAAAGGGCCAAAUAGGGGAGUUUCAAAUUUCCAGGACCAUAGAGGGAACUGUCAUUAUUUCUAGGAAAUUCUCUCAUGAGAAUAUGUAAAGUUUGCACCAUGACCCAAAAGGCUAGUGAAGAUAAAUAGCCUGGAUGACCAUAUGUUGUUUCUAGGGAGUAACUAAGCACUUUGUUCCUGUGCUGGGACUAAUGCCACAUUAACAUUGGAGUCCUACGGGAACAAGAGAGCGACCUUGGUCUGUUGCUGAUCUUUCCGAAUCCCAGAAAAAUGGUUUCGGUGCUGAACAGCUAGGUAUACUUGGUAUUCAAGUAUUUGUGAGCAAGAUAAUUAUUUUGUAAUGCAAUUGUGGCAGGUCCGGAACCAUGUAUCAUGUGAUUGAUCAUUUGCAUGCAGAACUGGAAGCAUGCCUACGUGACGUGAAAAUGGCAGUAGCCCAUGCUAUGUGAAACAUUCAGCUGGAGACAGAUUGGACCCCGGUAUUCCUUGAUUCCAAAAAUUGAAGCAGAACAAUCUGACUAUGAUCUGGCGGACUAUUGUGUGUGGGAACUACGGGAGCUUUCGUUCAUGGACUUGUUUAGUUUUUUCGGAUGGAUAAGUCCUUGCUGCUGGUCUUUGUGGUCCUUAGUAGCAGUUAGCAUCUUGUAGUCCUUAGCAUCUUGAACUGUAGGCAUCUUGGACUGAAGGACAGCAGUUAGUGUCCUCUCUAGGACAGCAGUUAGUGUCCUCUCUAGGACAGCAGUUAGACUAGCAUUAUUGGCUUUGUUGCUGCCCAGCAGCCUGCUGUAUAUAUAUGUGGCCACCCCUCCCGUUGGAAGGUAUGGCAUUGUGAGUGUGAAUGAAGAAAAAUCCAGAAAACUUCCCCAA